AUCGCCAAGAAGUGUCACAGAGUAAAAGAUUCGAAUAAAUGCUGCUGACAUAAGCAUUGAUAAUUAAGGUAUUAGAACAAUAUUCAGAUAUACCAGGGCCU
Molecule: long non-coding RNA, 101 nt
Organism: Haliotis rubra (blacklip abalone)
Lineage: Eukaryota; Metazoa; Mollusca; Gastropoda; Lepetellida; Haliotidae
Exons: 3
Source: RefSeq, a predicted model, not a curated record